Molecule: long non-coding RNA, 2168 nt
Organism: Camelus dromedarius (Arabian camel)
Lineage: Eukaryota; Metazoa; Chordata; Mammalia; Artiodactyla; Camelidae
Source: Ensembl
UGUUUGCACUGUGUCCAGGGCCGCAGUGCAGGGAGGGGGGUGUGGCCUCCCGGCAGGAGGGAGGACCACACUCGGGCGCUCCGGGCUGGGUCGGCUCUGCCAGUUCUCCCGUUCCGAGCCCCUUGUGUAGUUACACGCCGCCCCAUGCUCUUCUCACAGUGACUGUCCCAGGGUGCCUCGGGGCUGCUCCAUGGCACGGCGCUCCUUGGCCAGCGUGGCUGCCCUGAGGCUGCUCCUGUCCCCGGUCCCCACAAAGCUUCCACACGGCAGCCCAGUGUGCACCCCUCAGACUCUUCAUCUCUGCCGCUGGCUUCUAGAAGACACGUCCUUCUCCUCGGCCCCACCUCAGCCCCGUCAGACCUGCCCCCCGCCCCCGGCUCAGUGCAGCUCUCCUCCAGCGAGGGCGCCGCAGCCCAGGACGUGAUCCAGGUUUGCCGCUCGGGGUCCGGAGUCCUGGGCACAAGCCAGUUGAAGCCCCUGGCACUGCCGAGGUGGGUGCUCUGCGGCCCUGGAUGAGACCUCGCCACUCCCAAUGCCUCUGUCUCUCCUGGGGCUGGCCUCUUCUGUCUCCAGGGUGACAGGAAGGAUGGGGGGGCGUGUGAGAGACUGGACGUGAUCCCUGCAGCUGGCGCUUUACCAGAUGUGGGGGUGUGUGCGGCAAAGCCCGGGGUGCAGAGAAGCACAUAAAGCAGACCGGGAGACCCCGGAGCAUCCCUGACGGUCACUUACUUGAUGCCUGACUCCCUCUAACGUUGGCAGUGGCGUCGGGGGCAGUGUGGUGGCUCCACCUACUGAAGCGCAUCGUCCAAAGGCUCCAAGCUGCUGUGUUUACUCCAGUUGGGGUGGGGUGAGAAGUGGGGGUCCCCUGUGCCUCUCCCCAUGUGGCAACCCGUCCAGCACCCCUGGAGGACGAGCACGGCCUGGGCAGGAGGAGGGGCCCCUGGACCCCCUGCCCAGGGUCUGGGCGCGCGGGACCCACCCUGGGCUCUCACUGGGCUCUGGGGAGAGUUACUCUGUUCACACUCAUUUCCAUGAAUAACACACUUACCAUGUUUGUCCCCAAACUGAUGUUGGAGAAAACAAUUCACUCUGCCUUCAGGGAGACGCCGGGCUAGUCUGAAGACUGUUGCUGCCUCGGAAGCUCUCAGAGCAGGGAGGCCAGUGCCAGGGUGGAGGCGGCUCAGCCCCCGGGGUCAGUGGUGGCAGGCAGGGUUCAGAACCAGCCAGAGCUGGCGCCAUCCUUGUUCAGCCUGUGGGAGGGAGUCAGUGUGGACUGUGUUUGGACCGAGGCAGAAGCCGGUGGGCGGUGCAGAGGCCAGGCUGGGGGCGUGGUGGGGGCGGGGAAGGCCCACUCUGCUGCCGUGCAGUGUGGGACACCCCCCGGUGCCUCCCUCUACCUGACCCUGCCCUCAGUCACCUCUUAGACGGCUGGUGAUGCCACCUGUCUAUCCAGGAAAGGCCUGCAGAGUUUCAUUUUAAAAUAAGCAAAAAGUAACAAGGAAACAUCGAGUAAAUAAUAGUUCUGGUGAAGCACAGCUGGCGAGUCGUGCAGGUGCUCAGGAGUUCACUGCCAUCCAUAGCGGGACCCUUGAGCAGGAGGGUGGGGCCAGGUGGCAUCUUGGAAAUGGUGGCUUGGGAGGCAGCUCUGGAGAACAGACUGGAGAGGAUCACAAGGGGAUGUAGGGAGGACCGUCAGGAGGCUGGGGCCCCACGUGGUCCAGGGGAGACGCCGUGAGACCGAGCCUGGGGAUACUGCGGGGCAGGGGUGGGGCCAGGUCCCUGCUCACAGAGGCCAAGGGCUGGCAUGGCCAAGCCCCUGACCCAGAGCUCCUGGCCAGGGGGUCCCAGUGGUCCUGCAGGGCCUCUCAGACCAGGCCAUGAAGAGCCUCACUAGGUGGACAGGACCCGCCAUCCAACUCGGGCACAGGAUGUCUAAAGCCAGCAGGGAGGCCUUGGUGGAUGGGACAGUCUUGAAUCUCUUUGUGCAGGUGAGGAAAUGGAGGCACGGGGCUUCCUAGGUAGUCAGUGGGGAGCGGGACUCAGCCCAGCCUCCGCCUUGUCAUCCAGGCGAAGUCAGUGGACAUGCCCACUUCCCACACUUGGUGCCGGGCACUGGGGCCUGUGAGGAACACAGGGCAGCCCCAGGCCUGGAGGCACGGGAUUCAGGC